UCGGGCAGCCGCUGGUAUUUUGCCAGAGGAAAGUCCAUGCUCGCACACGCUGCGAUGCGUGUAGUGUCUGUGCCGGCCGAAUCAAUAAGACCGGGCACCCGCAAGGGUGACGGCGGAACGGAAACCUAAGGGCUUUAGGCCUAUGGCGGAUGUCCCCAAGGUGUCACAGUGACGAAGCCAUGCUGGAAACGGCAUGGGUGGAACGCGAUAAACCCCGCAGGCGAGAAACCCAAAUCAGGUAGGGGAACUUGGAAGGACGAAUUGAAGUCCGGAUGAGCUGCAUUCGUGCAGAGAUAAAUGGCUGCCACCUUCCUUCGGGAAGGGACAGAACAUGGCUUACAG
This 342-nucleotide RNase P RNA is filed under the name Lactimicrobium massiliense. RNAcentral describes it as "Bacterial RNase P class B". It matches the Rfam family "Bacterial RNase P class B". Rfam says of the family: Ribonuclease P (RNase P) is a ubiquitous endoribonuclease, found in archaea, bacteria and eukarya as well as chloroplasts and mitochondria. Its best characterised activity is the generation of mature 5'-ends of tRNAs by cleaving the 5'-leader elements of precursor-tRNAs. Cellular RNase Ps are ribonucleoproteins. The record is from RNAcentral. Lineage: Bacteria; Bacillati; Bacillota; Erysipelotrichia; Erysipelotrichales; Erysipelotrichaceae.